RNAcentral lists this ribosomal RNA (439 nucleotides) under uncultured Desulfuromonas sp. RNAcentral's name for it is "bacterial SSU rRNA". It matches the Rfam family "Bacterial small subunit ribosomal RNA", at positions 338 to 768 of the family's 1533-position model. Lineage: Bacteria; Pseudomonadati; Thermodesulfobacteriota; Desulfuromonadia; Desulfuromonadales; Desulfuromonadaceae. The record is from RNAcentral.
CCUACGGGGGGCAGCAGUGGGGAAUCUUUGGCAAUGGGGGAAACCCUGACCAAGCAACGCCGCGUGGAGGACGAAGGCCUUCGGGUCGUAAACUCCUGUCGGAGGGGACGAAAGCGGUUGGAGUGAAUAGCUCCAGCCGUUGACGGUACCCUACGAGGAAGCCCCGGCUAACUCCGUGCCAGCAGCCGCGGUAAUACGGAGGGGGCAAGCGUUGUUCGGAAUUACUGGGCGUAAAGGGCGCGUAGGCGGCCGAGCAUGUCCUUCGUGAAAUCCCACGGCUCAACCGUGGAAUGGCGGAGGAAACUGCCUGGCUUGAGUCCGGGAGAGGAGAGUGGAAUUCCCAGUGUAGCGGUGAAAUGCGUAGAUAUUGGGAGGAACACCGGUGGCGAAGGCGGCUCUCUGGACCGGUACUGACGCUGAGGCGCGAAAGCUAGGGGAG